RNAcentral lists this long non-coding RNA (1002 nucleotides) under Sus scrofa (pig). RNAcentral's name for it is "lncRNA (ENSSSCG00015070337.1)". The record is from RNAcentral. Lineage: Eukaryota; Metazoa; Chordata; Mammalia; Artiodactyla; Suidae.
CUCUAAACGAGAGGAAGGAAAAGAGUAGAAAGCGGAGCGGGAAAGAAGCAAAGCGCAGGACGCUCUUCAGGUGUUUCCAACGUUUGGGGAGGGGGUUCCGGAGGGCCGCAGCAGGAUACGGUAGAGUAAGUGAUGCGAGCAGGUGGGGGAUGCGCAUGCGCAGGACCUCCGCAAUGCCCUUGCGCACCUGCCUAGCUUGCCGGUUUCCUGGGCCUAGAAGGCAGACCAGGCCUCCGGGAGGAGUGGAGUUUCCGAAAAUCAAAGAAAAACCCAGGAGCAACGUGGACUCCGCCAAGGAGGGUUAUAUGAAAGGGCUCAGCAGAGCUACAAGAAAGAUCCAAAGGACCUUGAAAGAUACACGUGGAGGGACUUGGAGACAAUUAUGGUGACAGAAAAGAGCCUUGCUUUACGAGCUGGAUAAAACAUCGAAGAACUAACUGCUCUGAAUUCCUUCAAAGCUUCAGAAUUAUUUCUCUGACACUUCACUCCUCGGUCUGGUUAACAUUAUAAAGACUCAUCAUAAGAGAUCUCAUCUGGACCCAGCAGUUUCAGUUCUAGGGGGAAAAAAAAUUCUGCUCAUGUACAUAAGACAGCAGAUAUAAGUACAGCAAGGAGUUCCCGUUGUGGCUCAGUGGAAAUGAAUUUGACUAGGAACCAUGAGGUUUCGGGUUUGAUCCCUGGCCUCGCUCAGUGGGUUAAGGAUCCGGUGUUGCCCUGAGCUGUGAUAUAGUUCGCAGAGGAGACUCAGAUCUGGCGUUGCUGUGGCUUUGGUGUAGGCCAGCAGAUGCAGCUCCAAUUUUUGACCCCUAGCCUGGGAACCUCUGUGUGCUGCAAGUGUGGCCCCAAAAAGACCGGGAAAAAAAAAAAGUAAGUACAGCAAUACUUUCAUAGGGAAACACCUUAAAGAGGCAGAACAGCUCAGGCCUUAGAAUGAAGACCCUAAUGUGACGGAUCAUCUGGGUUUGAAUCCUGGUUCCACCAGUUAUCAGCUGUGUGGCCGUG